GGGAGAUGACGUUGGAGGAACGAGAAUUGAUCAUUCUUUUUCUAUACAUCAUGGGCGUCGAGAACUGCUAAUCCUAAGAGUCAUGGAAGUAAGAAAUAACAUGUCUUACAUGUGACUUCUAUAUAAUCAAAUAAGAGCCAGAAAUUAAACAGAAGAGAAGUGUGUUUGUUUAUCGAGAAGCGGUACGAAUACAAGUGGGAAUGAAAAGGCUAUGACGUAAGAAAAGGAAAGACCAGAGAGAACAAAGCAGUCUUGAAUGGAUCAAUGAAAAGAAAUGUCAGAGAAAAAAGUAUUAAGUACGAUACUGACAGAAAGUAACGAUUGAGUAAAGAGUAUAAAGUUGAGUUUGGAGAAGACCAGAGAAAGAGUAUGAUAUUUAGUAGACCAGAUAUAGAACAAAGGAUUAAGUCAAAUUCAUUUUUCUAAAUUCCAGAAAUGCAUCUCAAGGUAAUUGAAGCCACGGAAUUGGUAUUCAAAGGUACUAAUGGAGAGAGUAAUACGUUUUGUGUUUUUAUCGCGAAUCAGCUCCUAUUAGGAAAUAAAACACAGCUGUACAAAAUCCAUGGGAAAAAAAUUUUCAGUUAUGAGUUGCUUCUUCGAUGAUUUAUAAUUACUUCUCUUUAUGCGAUUAUUGUGUCUGGAUGUGUGUAAUACUCCAUACUCUAAGAUUAUAUACUACUAUAUCAACAACUUUGAGCACAUAGCAAGUAAUACUAAAUCGGACGAAGAUGCAAUCAGAUAUCAAAUUAAGGUAAUUCAGUUAAUUGGAGCAGAUUUACGAAAAUCUAUAGAUUGUUACAACAAGGUGUUCAUGAAGAAAGUUAUAUAAAAACUAUAUUAUUAUUAUCGGAAUUUAUUUUAUAUUCGUUUAUGUAAAAAUAUCAUUUCUCGGAAAAGUAAUUUCCCGUAGACAAGAACGUUGUACAUUAUGUAUGAAAAAAAGCAAAAAAUAAUUUACAUGUGCAUGUAUGCUGUGAAAGAUGUGUUUACUGAGGUUGAAACGCAUAGAAGUCGAUAGUAAUAAUGAUUCUGAGUUGACGCUUGUUCAAAUUCCAUCUCACAUUUCAACGAUAUGCUAUACUGGGCCAAAUUGUUUGUGCCGAAGGACAAUUGGAAUUUGAAAAAAUACGAAAUUAUAACGACUGGUAGUUUAGAGCUGGUGUAGCACACUUUGAAUGGAUAUUGCAGUAUACAAGGCUUUAAAGAACUUUUUCAGUUAGUUCAUAGUAGUGUAGAAGUAAGAAAUAUAUAUUUUAAAAGUUCACUUAUUCAAAUAUAUGUUUACAUAUUUUAACUAUUAUUUCAAAAAUUUUUUACAAAAAAAGAUCACGUUCAUUUUACUCUAAUCUGCACCGAAGACUUCAUGCACUCAUUAAAUUAUACAAUAUUGAUACAGAUGAGACAUGAAAUAUGCAGAUUUUUUAGAAGAUUGAAUAACAUCCAGAUACUCACUUUUCAUGUAGAUAAGCUUCAAUAAUUUAUAAGUAUGAUAAUUUUCUAAUAAUUCAGACGAUCUUUAAUUCAAACGGAAAGCAAGAAACAAAUAUUGAAGCAAUUGUAGAUUCGCUUAAACUUUUCAUAGCUCGUUAAGUGUAAUAAUAAUUUUUAUUUAAAAUGCCGAUAUGUUAAAUUUUAUACUGGAAAUCGUUGCCUUUAUUAAAUAUAAUUUUAAUUUAUAUUGUCUAUACUGAACAAUUUUAA
Long non-coding RNA from Vespa crabro (European hornet), 1701 nucleotides. RefSeq lists it as uncharacterized. Lineage: Eukaryota; Metazoa; Arthropoda; Insecta; Hymenoptera; Vespidae. The record is from RefSeq and is a predicted model, not a curated record. The transcript has 5 exons.